This 253-nucleotide ribosomal RNA is filed under the name uncultured bacterium. RNAcentral describes it as "partial 16S ribosomal RNA". It matches the Rfam family "Bacterial small subunit ribosomal RNA", at positions 524 to 776 of the family's 1533-position model. The record is from RNAcentral.
UACGUAGGGUGCGAGCGUUGUCCGGAAUCACUGGGCGUAAAGGGCGUGUAGGCGGUCAAGUUAGUGGGACGUGAAAUGCCUCGGCUCACCCGAGGACCUGCGUCCCAAACUGCUUGGCUUGAGUAUGGGAGAGGAUGUGGGAAUUCCUGGUGUAGCGGUGAAAUGCGUAGAUAUCAGGAGGAACACCGGUGGCGAAGGCGCACAUCUGGCCCAAUACUGACGCUGAGGCGCGAAAGCUAGGGGAGCAAACGGG